UAGCUCAGUUGGUAGAGCAUGGUGUUUGCAACGCCAGGGUUGUGGGUUCGCUUCCCAU
RNAcentral lists this transfer RNA (58 nucleotides) under Salmo salar (Atlantic salmon). It matches the Rfam family "tRNA", at positions 8 to 63 of the family's 71-position model. From Rfam's summary of the family: Transfer RNA (tRNA) molecules are approximately 80 nucleotides in length. Their secondary structure includes four short double-helical elements and three loops (D, anti-codon, and T loops). Lineage: Eukaryota; Metazoa; Chordata; Actinopteri; Salmoniformes; Salmonidae. The record is from Rfam by way of RNAcentral.